AGUAGGACGCACAGUUUAUACCGUAGCUUGCUACACCAUAGACUGUGAGUUGCGAACGGGUGAGUAACGCGUAGGUAACCUGCCUAUUAGAGGGGGAUAACUAUUGGAAACGAUAGCUAAUACCGCAUAACAGUAUGUAACACAUGUUAGAUGCUUGAAAGAUGCAAUUGCAUCGCUAGUAGAUGGACCUGCGUUGUAUUAGCUAGUAGGUAGGGUAAUGGCCUACCUAGGCGACGAUACAUAGCCGACCUGAGAGGGUGAUCGGCCACACUGGGACUGAGACACGGCCCAGACUCCUACGGGAGGCAGCAGUAGGGAAUCUUCGGCAAUGGGGGGAACCCUGACCGAGCAACGCCGCGUGAGUGAAGAAGGUUUUCGGAUCGUAAAGCUCUGUUGUUAAGGAAGAACGAGUGUGAGAAUGGAAAGUUCAUACUGUGACGGUACUUAACCAGAAAGGGACGGCUAACUACGUGCCAGCAGCCGCGGUAAUACGUAGGUCCCGAGCGUUGUCCGGAUUUAUUGGGCGUAAAGCGAGCGCAGGCGGUUAGAAAAGUCUGAAGUGAAAGGCAGUGGCUCAACCAUUGUAGGCUUUGGAAACUGUUUAACUUGAGUGCAGAAGGGGAGAGUGGAAUUCCAUGUGUAGCGGUGAAAUGCGUAGAUAUAUGGAGGAACACCGGUGGCGAAAGCGGCUCUCUGGUCUGUAACUGACGCUGAGGCUCGAAAGCGUGGGGAGCGAACAGGAUUAGAUACCCUGGUAGUCCACGCCGUAAACGAUGAGUGCUAGGUGUUGGGUCCUUU
Molecule: ribosomal RNA, 798 nt
Filed under: Streptococcus sp. HGH0328
Lineage: Bacteria; Bacillati; Bacillota; Bacilli; Lactobacillales; Streptococcaceae
Also listed under: 1 other name
Description: bacterial SSU rRNA
Rfam family: Bacterial small subunit ribosomal RNA
Source: RNAcentral